This 422-nucleotide ribosomal RNA is filed under the name uncultured Clostridium sp. RNAcentral describes it as "bacterial SSU rRNA". It matches the Rfam family "Bacterial small subunit ribosomal RNA", at positions 355 to 794 of the family's 1533-position model. Lineage: Bacteria; Bacillati; Bacillota; Clostridia; Eubacteriales; Clostridiaceae. The record is from RNAcentral.
UGGGGAAUAUUGCACAAUGGGGGAAACCCUGAUGCAGCGACGCCGCGUGAGUGAAGAAGUAUUUCGGUAUGUAAAGCUCUAUCAGCAGGGAAGAAAAUGACGGUACCUGACUAAGAAGCCCCGGCUAACUACGUGCCAGCAGCCGCGGUAAUACGUAGGGGGCAAGCGUUAUCCGGAUUUACUGGGUGUAAAGGGAGCGUAGACGGCAAGACAAGUCUGAAGUGAAAUGCGGGGGCUCAACCCCUGAACUGCUUUGGAAACUGUGUAGCUAGAGUGCAGGAGAGGUAAGUGGAAUUCCUAGUGUAGCGGUGAAAUGCGUAGAUAUUAGGAGGAACACCAGUGGCGAAGGCGGCUUACUGGACUGUAACUGACGUUGAGGCUCGAAAGCGUGGGGAGCAAACAGGAUUAGAUACCCUGGUAGU